UACGUAGGGUGCAAGCGUUAAUCGGAAUUACUGGGCGUAAAGCGUGCGCAGGCGGUUUUGUAAGUCUGUCGUGAAAUCCCCGGGCUCAACCUGGGAAUUGCGAUGGAGACUGCAAGGCUAGAAUCUGGCAGAGGGGGGUAGAAUUCCACGUGUAGCAGUGAAAUGCGUAGAUAUGUGGAGGAACACCGAUGGCGAAGGCAGCCCCCUGGGCCAAUACUGACGCUCAUGCACGAAAGCGUGGGGAGCAAACAGG
This 253-nucleotide ribosomal RNA is filed under the name uncultured bacterium. RNAcentral describes it as "partial 16S ribosomal RNA". It matches the Rfam family "Bacterial small subunit ribosomal RNA", at positions 524 to 776 of the family's 1533-position model. The record is from RNAcentral.